CAACGCCGCGUGAGGGACGAAGGUUUUCUGAAUUGUAAACCUCUUUCGACGGGGACGAUAAUGACGGUACCUGUAGAAGAAGCACCGGCCAACUAUGUGC
This 100-nucleotide ribosomal RNA is filed under the name uncultured bacterium. RNAcentral's name for it is "partial 16S ribosomal RNA". It matches the Rfam family "Bacterial small subunit ribosomal RNA", at positions 392 to 508 of the family's 1533-position model. The record is from RNAcentral.